AACUGAUACUACCUGCGGGAACCUGCGGAGGGAUCAUUAAUGAGAAACUGCCCCUCGCGGGUAGAUCUCCCACCCUUUGUAAACUUACCUUUGUUGCUUUGGCAGGCCCGUCUCCGGACCGCCGGCUUCGGCUGGCCAGUGCCUGCCAGAGGAUUCUAAAACUCUGUCUGUCAGUGUUGUCUGAGUCUAUAUACAAUCGUUAAAACUUUCAACAACGGAUCUCUAGAUCGGAAGAGCACA
This 240-nucleotide unclassified non-coding RNA is filed under the name soil metagenome. RNAcentral's name for it is "partial contains 5.8S ribosomal RNA, internal transcribed spacer 2, and large subunit ribosomal RNA". The record is from RNAcentral.